This 248-nucleotide ribosomal RNA is filed under the name uncultured bacterium. RNAcentral's name for it is "partial 16S ribosomal RNA". It matches the Rfam family "Bacterial small subunit ribosomal RNA", at positions 32 to 290 of the family's 1533-position model. The record is from RNAcentral.
AAUCAACGCUGGCGGCGUGCCUAACACAUGCAAGUCGCACGAGAAAGUGGAGCAAUCCAUGAGUAAAGUGGCGCACGGGUGAGUAACACGUGAAUAAUCUACCUCCGAGUGGGGAAUAACUGAGAGAAAUCUUAGCUAAUACCGCAUAACACUUACGAGUCAAAGCAGCAAUGCGCUUGGAGAGGAGUUCGCGGCCGAUUAGUUAGUUGGCGGGGUAAUGGCCCACCAAGACGAUGAUCGGUAUCCGG